This 21-nucleotide non-coding RNA is filed under the name Caenorhabditis elegans. Lineage: Eukaryota; Metazoa; Nematoda; Chromadorea; Rhabditida; Rhabditidae. The record is from RNAcentral.
UUUGUUUUCUUGCUAGAACAC